UACGUAGGGGGCAAGCGUUGUCCGGAUUUAUUGGGCGUAAAGAGCGUGUAGGCGGUUUGGUAGGUCCGCUGUGAAAACUCGAGGCUCAACCUCGAGACGCCGGUGGAAACCAUCAGGCUAGAGUCCGGAAGAGGAGAGUGGAAUUCCUGGUGUAGCGGUGAAAUGCGCAGAUAUCAGGAAGAACACCCGUGGCUAAGGCGGCUCUCUAGUACGGUACUGACGCUGGGACGCGAAAGCGUGGAGAGCGAACAGG
This 253-nucleotide ribosomal RNA is filed under the name uncultured bacterium. Its description in RNAcentral is "partial 16S ribosomal RNA". It matches the Rfam family "Bacterial small subunit ribosomal RNA", at positions 524 to 776 of the family's 1533-position model. The record is from RNAcentral.